GCCGGGUGCAGUGGUGCACACCUGUAAUCCCAGCAGCUCAGGAGGCUGAGGCAGGAGGAACGUAAGUUCAAAGCUAGCCUCAGCAACUUAGCAAGGCCCUCAGCAACUCAGUGAGACCCUGUCUCUA
This 127-nucleotide small RNA is filed under the name Marmota monax (woodchuck). Lineage: Eukaryota; Metazoa; Chordata; Mammalia; Rodentia; Sciuridae. The record is from RNAcentral.